CUGCUUACAUAUGUAGUCUUUGUUAAUUAUAGAAUUUGUUUAAUCAGAUGUUCUUUAAAAAGAGGAAUUGAUUCUGUAAAUGUAGGUAUUAGUAAUUUUCCAGUAGGUGCCCUCCCAGUACCCCUCAAAAGUCCAAGAGUAAGCAAAAGAUAAAAAUAGCACCUAUAAAAAGGGAGAGUAUCCCCAACCCUAUAAAAUCCUGCCUCAAAGAUGGGUCUGGGCUCUCAGUCUGAAGCCUCUACGACGGUGAGGCCUGAAAGUCCAGCCUCAAGCUUGCAAUAAACUCCUCUUGCAAUUGCAUUGGACCUGACUCCUUGGUGGUCUUUGGGGACUCCUUGGUGGCGUAACAUUUGGGGGCUCAUCUGGGAUCCCCAAACACCUAAGGACUCCCUCCAAAGGAAAUUGGCCAGCAGAACGUGCACAUACCUCUCCAAGGAUUAUCAACAAAAAGAGCUCCUACAGGAUGCCAGAUCCAAAGUAAAAGAAGAACUCGAGGCACAUCAAAACUACCACUGGCACUAAUGAUACAAGACCCGACCCUGAUCUCGAGGACCUAAAAGACCCUUGCCCCAUUUUUUUAGGUUCCACGUCACCCCCUUUCAGCAGGCAGUAGCUUAAUGAGGACGACACCCAAAUUCCCAUGAUUGGGUUCCUAAGGUCCUUGAGAAGGCGGGAAUGUAAGGACCAAGUUUGCAAGUCAAGGAGGGCUCCCUCUGUGCCCUUUGCCCACCUCUGCC
Molecule: long non-coding RNA, 737 nt
Filed under: Fukomys damarensis (Damara mole-rat)
Lineage: Eukaryota; Metazoa; Chordata; Mammalia; Rodentia; Bathyergidae
Description: lncRNA (ENSFDAG00000023029.1)
Source: RNAcentral